GACGAACGCUGGCGGCGUGCCUAAUACAUGCAGGUUGAGCGUUGAGGAUUGUGGUUGGCACCAUUUUGAGAAGAGGCAAACGGGUGGGUAACGCGUGGGGAAUCUGCCUUUGAGCGGGGGAAAACUUUUGGAAAGGAAUGCUAAUCCGCAAUACCACCUUUAACCAUAGUUUUUAGGUUUGAAAGAUGAAAUUGCCUCACUCAAAGAUAAUCCGGCGUUUUAUUAGCUGGUUGGUGAGGUAAAGGCUCACAAAGGCGAUGAUACAUGGCCGACCUGAGAGGGUGAUCGGCCACAUUGGGACUGAGACACGGCCCAAACUCCUACGGGAGGCAGCAGUAGGGAAUCUUCGGCAAUGGACGAAAGUCUGACCGAGCAACGCCGCGUGAGUGAAGAAGGUUGUCGGAUCGUAAAACUCUGUUGGUAGAGAAGAACGUUGGUGAGAGUGGAAAGCUCAUCAAGUGACGGUAACUACCCAGAAAGGGACGGCUAACUACGUG
This 497-nucleotide ribosomal RNA is filed under the name uncultured bacterium. RNAcentral describes it as "partial 16S ribosomal RNA". It matches the Rfam family "Bacterial small subunit ribosomal RNA", at positions 28 to 507 of the family's 1533-position model. The record is from RNAcentral.